Molecule: long non-coding RNA, 916 nt
Filed under: Eptatretus burgeri (inshore hagfish)
Lineage: Eukaryota; Metazoa; Chordata; Myxini; Myxiniformes; Myxinidae
Description: lncRNA (ENSEBUG00000017198.1)
Source: RNAcentral
CCUCUCCACCCACUGUACGUCCCCUGACCCGCCCCUCUAUUGAGUAAGACGCACCCCCUUCGUUCUUCGUUUCUCGAACUUGUUGUGCACACCCAUGGGAGAUAAGAAACACUUUGCGCAUCCAGGGUGCAGAGACCUGUGCAACUUCUAGUCUCUUAUUCUAGGACCUCUUGCCUACCAGGAGAGAUCUUUCGACUGGAGAGUAUAUUUAACUUCACUUUACAGGGUCUCGGAGCCUUUAACUAUUGUGAUAUUGCACUACAACCGUCCUGCGGAGAAACGCGACAUCCUCAGGAAAUGCCUCGAUCGUUCUUGGUACGGAGCCGCAGGGGGGGUGGUCCACGACGUUGGAGCUGUGACAAGCAGUUGGAGCAAAGUCCAGGUCCUUUGGCUAGUCCAGGCCAGGUUCAAAUCAAGUAUGAAAAAGAUCUUUCUGCAUCAAUUCCCAGUGCCCCAGAGCAGCAUCUACACUCAAUACCCACACUGAAUGAAGUCAGGCUGAGCCCAGCUUUCACCCCGGUGUGCCCUCCACUGCACAGCAGCAACUUGUUGGGGUUCAACCCUGUCGGCGGUUGCUGUUUAUCACCAAGCUCAGCCAUGCCCCUCAAUCCAGGCCUGCCUGAGCAUCAUGCGUAUGCUUGCCUGAAAUGUAGCAAGUGAUUCGGUUCAGUUCGGCUCGACAGGCACUUUGAACCUGCCGUUGCGGGCACAAAAUCUGUGAUUCAAAUCCUCUUUUAAACCUCCUUUUCGGCAUUGAAAUGAAAGAGUGGCAAUUUCAAAAUGGUAAAGCAUAAUUGUUCUGUUCCUGAAUGCAAAUCGGACUCGCAGAAAUAGAGGAAUACAUGAAAUAUCCAUGGAUGAGAUGUAUCGGGUUCAUUAUAUUUCCUGUUAGUACAUUGUAGCAUCGGCUGUCGAU